GGGAAUGUGGCUUAAUGGUAAAAUGCUUGCCUUGCAUGCAUGAAGCCCUGAGUUCAAUUCCUCAGCUCCA
RNAcentral lists this transfer RNA (70 nucleotides) under Dipodomys ordii (Ord's kangaroo rat). It matches the Rfam family "tRNA". Rfam says of the family: Transfer RNA (tRNA) molecules are approximately 80 nucleotides in length. Their secondary structure includes four short double-helical elements and three loops (D, anti-codon, and T loops). Further hydrogen bonds mediate the characteristic L-shaped molecular structure. tRNAs have two regions of fundamental functional importance: the anti-codon, which is responsible for specific mRNA codon recognition, and the 3' end, to which the tRNAs corresponding amino acid is attached (by aminoacyl-tRNA synthetases). tRNAs cope with the degeneracy of the genetic code in two manners: having more than one tRNA (with a specific anti-codon) for a particular amino acid; and 'wobble' base-pairing, i.e. permitting non-standard base-pairing at the 3rd anti-codon position. The record is from Rfam by way of RNAcentral. Lineage: Eukaryota; Metazoa; Chordata; Mammalia; Rodentia; Heteromyidae.